This 317-nucleotide ribosomal RNA is filed under the name uncultured eukaryote. RNAcentral describes it as "partial 18S ribosomal RNA". It matches the Rfam family "Eukaryotic small subunit ribosomal RNA", at positions 1470 to 1796 of the family's 1831-position model. The record is from RNAcentral.
CCCUUAGAUGUUCUGGGCUGCACGCGCGCUACACUGAUGCAUCCAGCGAGUUGUAACCUUGCUUGGUAAAGUUUGGUAAUCUGAGCCUAAUGUGCAUCGUGAUGGGAAUAGAGUUUUGCAACUAUUAGUCUUGAACGAGGAAUUCCUCGUAAGCACGAGUCAUCAGCUUGUGCUGAUUACGUCCCUGCCCUUUGUACACACCGCCCGUCGCACCUACCGAUUGAAUGGUCCGGUGAAGCCUCCGGAUUGGCGCGCACCUCGGUGCCGCCGAGAAGUUGGCUAAACCUUACCAUUUAGAGGAAGGUGAANUCGUAACA